Cervus elaphus (red deer) is the source of this 431-nucleotide long non-coding RNA. RefSeq lists it as uncharacterized. The record is from RefSeq and is a predicted model, not a curated record. The transcript has 3 exons. NCBI's taxonomy places the organism in Eukaryota, Metazoa, Chordata, Mammalia, Artiodactyla, Cervidae.
CAUCUUAUGCUCAACUUAACUUUCAGUAUAAUUCAAGGUACCUCUAAAGAAGGUUAUAGUUCAGGAUCCGUUUAACUGGAAUCCAUCCGAAGGAGUCAGAAGGAACUGAUGCUUUCUGGAGAAUGUUCUGCUCCUGAUAUUUUAGCAACAGAUUUCGUCUUUAUUUUUCUGGCAGCCAAGGUAAAGGGUCAUGCUUGCUGGACAAAUAGUAGAUUGAAUUUAGAAAGUUUUUUUUCAUUGACUCUCAUCCAUCUUUUAGUUGGGAAGAAAAAUUACUGAUUGAGAAGUCCCAGAAGAACAGAGAACAGGGAUCCUCGAAAUUAUUUCCAUUUGCUCCAGUGUGGAAGCUAGGUGAACAUCCGAAUCGAAUCGAGACAAUUAAUCUACCCCAUCUCCGGAUAGUCCUGCCGCUACUUAACGACCCUUGCAGG